Molecule: transfer RNA, 73 nt
Filed under: Streptomyces polyasparticus
Lineage: Bacteria; Bacillati; Actinomycetota; Actinomycetes; Kitasatosporales; Streptomycetaceae
Description: Streptomyces sp. TRM66268-LWL tRNA-Gly
Rfam family: tRNA
About the family: Transfer RNA (tRNA) molecules are approximately 80 nucleotides in length. Their secondary structure includes four short double-helical elements and three loops (D, anti-codon, and T loops). Further hydrogen bonds mediate the characteristic L-shaped molecular structure. tRNAs have two regions of fundamental functional importance: the anti-codon, which is responsible for specific mRNA codon recognition, and the 3' end, to which the tRNAs corresponding amino acid is attached (by aminoacyl-tRNA synthetases). tRNAs cope with the degeneracy of the genetic code in two manners: having more than one tRNA (with a specific anti-codon) for a particular amino acid; and 'wobble' base-pairing, i.e. permitting non-standard base-pairing at the 3rd anti-codon position.
Source: RNAcentral
CCGGGCGUAGCGCAGAGGCAGGCGCACCGUCUUGCCCAGACGGGAUACGCCGGUUCGAAUCCGGUCGUCCGGG